This 73-nucleotide transfer RNA is filed under the name Fidelibacterota bacterium. RNAcentral's name for it is "tRNA-Asn". It matches the Rfam family "tRNA". From Rfam's summary of the family: Transfer RNA (tRNA) molecules are approximately 80 nucleotides in length. Their secondary structure includes four short double-helical elements and three loops (D, anti-codon, and T loops). The record is from RNAcentral. Lineage: Bacteria; Pseudomonadati; Fidelibacterota.
UCCGGAGUAGCUCAGUUGGUAGAGCGAGUGGCUGUUAACCACCAGGUCGGGGGUUCGAGUCACUCCUCCGGAG